AACAAAAUGAAGCCCAAUUUCUUAUUCCAAUGGAUUUUGGACCCAAUCUCGUUUACUGCGAAAGAAACGGAUGCACUGGUUCAAACGACGCUUUUGAAGAAUAUUACACACGCUUACAUUUCCUACAGCUUUUGCGUCAGCAGGCAAACCGGUCCUUAUCAGUGGCGACUUGAACAACUGUGCUCAAUACCAUUGCACCAGGUUUGAAACCUCCGCUGAUAUGGCUUUGUGUUAGCUGGUUUUGGUUUUUAUAUAAAGCUUUUCUUGAAUUUUUGGUCGCUAGCAUUGGUGCCCAUGAACUGUUUGUUAUAAUGUCAAAAAGAGUUACUUUUGUGAUUUUUGGUCUAUGAUGUCAUAUGGAUUAAUUAAGCC
Cynara cardunculus var. scolymus (artichoke) is the source of this 372-nucleotide long non-coding RNA. RefSeq lists it as uncharacterized. NCBI's taxonomy places the organism in Eukaryota, Viridiplantae, Streptophyta, Magnoliopsida, Asterales, Asteraceae. The transcript has 2 exons. The record is from RefSeq and is a predicted model, not a curated record.